Long non-coding RNA from Cornus florida, 931 nucleotides. RefSeq lists it as uncharacterized. NCBI's taxonomy places the organism in Eukaryota, Viridiplantae, Streptophyta, Magnoliopsida, Cornales, Cornaceae. The transcript is spliced from 5 exons. The record is from RefSeq and is a predicted model, not a curated record.
UGCCGCGUCAUUUUUCAUAUUCAUUAUUCAUUUUUUAUUUUUCUUUUUUCAUUUUUCAUUUUCCAAUUUUCUUUUUUCACUCCCCACUUUCUCUCUCUACCCCCAAUUCUCUCUCGCCGCUCAUCGUUUUCUCUCUCGUCGCUCCUCGCUUUUUCUCUCUACCCCCAGUACUCCUUUCUCUCUCUCUAGCUCGACUCAGACUGGUCUCCUCGCUCCUCGCUCUUCAAUGGAGAGCUUGAUCUACCAAAAUUAUACUACGAACACAGUCCCGAUUGUGCUAUUUGAGCAUAUAUUCUGUUGUGUUAUUUGAUUUGGGAGCCAAAUCGACAUCUGAUCCGCCAAAACAGGCCAACAAUCAUCGCCAAACAAAACUGUUGAGUUCAUCAGUCUAUCCACUUGCAGGUCCAGAUGGAUGGUAGAGAUAACAAAAACCAACCCGCAACUUAUACUGAACAAUAUUCAUAUUCCACUCAAACUGACCCUAUUAAUACUCGUCAGAGCCAGAUGGAUAGUGGGUAUAACCUAUACCAACAAACUGCUCCAAAUGAACAAUUUGUUGCUCGUUCUCAGACAAUGAAAAGGUGACAAGGCAUGAGUGAAGUUUUUUUGUUAAGUCUCAAAAAGCCCGAUGUCAUAGUAGCUUGAGGAAUUCUUUUGAGUAAGAACCCACGUUCAAAAGUAAGGGGCAUUGAAUUGGGACAUCAUAAUUGGGAAGUAAGUGUUACCAUUCCAAUCAUGCGAGAAGAACCACUACCUAUUGCUUCUGCACAUUUCAAAACUAUUGGAGAUAAGCUGGAGCUAGCGUUUCUUGGCCUUCUGCUUAUGUUAUAUAUAGAGAAUGAUGACUUGGUGGAUGACAAAGAUGAAACUCAAUCUGCAUAUAACAGAGUUAUAUUGAGCUUCUCCUCAUCAAUUUGCAACUCUGUUUAAA